AGUCGAGCGAACCUUCGGGGUGAGCGGCGGACGGGUGAGUAACGCGUGGGUAACCUGCCCUGUACACACGGAUAACAUACCGAAAGGUAUGCUAAUACGGGAUAACAUAUGAGAGUCGCAUGGCUUUUGUAUCAAAGCUCCGGCGGUACAGGAUGGACCCGCGUCUGAUUAGCUAGUUGGUAAGGUAACGGCUUACCAAGGCAACGAUCAGUAGCCGACCUGAGAGGGUGAUCGGCCACAUUGGAACUGAGACACGGUCCAAACUCCUACGGGAGGCAGCAGUGGGGAAUAUUGCACAAUGGGCGAAAGCCUGAUGCAGCAACGCCGCGUGAGCGAUGAAGGCCUUCGGGUCGUAAAGCUCUGUCCUCAAGGAAGAUAAUGACGGUACUUGAGGAGGAAGCCCCGGCUAACUACGUGCCAGCAGCCGCGGUAAUACGUAGGGGGCUAGCGUUAUCCGGAAUUACUGGGCGUAAAGGGUGCGUAGGCGGUCUUUCAAGCCAGAAGUGAAAGGCUACGGCUCAACCGUAGUAAGCUUUUGGAACUGUAGGACUUGAGUGCAGGAGAGGAGAGUGGAAUUCCUAGUGUAGCGGUGAAAUGCGUAGAUAUUAGGAGGAACACCAGUAGCGAAGGCGGCUCUCUGGACUGUAACUGACGCUGAGGCACGAAAGCGUGGGGAGCAAACAGGAUUAGAUACCCUGGUAGUCCACGCCGUAAACGAUGAGUACUAGGUGUCGGGGGUUACCCCCCUCGGUGCCGCAGCUAACGCAUUAAGUACUCCGCCUGGGAAGUA
This 790-nucleotide ribosomal RNA is filed under the name uncultured bacterium. RNAcentral describes it as "bacterial SSU rRNA". It matches the Rfam family "Bacterial small subunit ribosomal RNA", at positions 60 to 882 of the family's 1533-position model. The record is from RNAcentral.